GAUGAAGAACGCAGCGAAAUGCGAUAAGUAAUGUGAAUUGCAGAAUUCAGUGAAUCAUCGAAUCUUUGAACGCACCUUGCACCCUUUGGCAUUCCGAAGGGUAUGCUCGUUUGAGUGUCAUUGUACUCUCACACUUCCGAUCUUUGGAUUGGGAGCGGUGGACUUGGGUGUUGCUGCUUACUGUGGCUCACCUCAAAUCGAUUCGUGCACCUCUUGGUUGGACAUAGUACGGCGUGAUAAGUGUCUUCGCCGGCACCUCAGUAGAGGGUGGCUGAUCGGGAGCUCUGCUUCAAACCGUCCUCGGACAACAACUGACAACUUGAACUCAAAUCGAGUAGGACUACCCGCUGAACUUAAGCAUAUCAAUAAGCGGAGGA
This 377-nucleotide unclassified non-coding RNA is filed under the name soil metagenome. RNAcentral's name for it is "partial contains 5.8S ribosomal RNA, internal transcribed spacer 2, and large subunit ribosomal RNA". The stretch from base 1 to 120 matches the Rfam family "5.8S ribosomal RNA", at positions 35 to 154 of the family's 154-position model. The record is from RNAcentral.